Molecule: ribosomal RNA, 406 nt
Filed under: uncultured bacterium
Lineage: Bacteria
Description: partial 16S ribosomal RNA
Rfam family: Bacterial small subunit ribosomal RNA
Source: RNAcentral
GAUGAACGCUAGCUACAGGCUUAACACAUGCAAGUCGAGGGACCGGCGCACGGGUGAGUAACACGUAUCCAACCUGCCCUUUACUCGGGGAUAGCCUUUCGAAAGAAAGAUUAAUACCCGAUGUAAAGGAUGGGGAUGCGUUCCAUUAGGUUGUUGGUGAGGUAACGGCUCACCAAGCCUUCGAUGGCUAGGGGUUGGGAGAGGCAGGUCCACCACAUUGGAAACGCGGCCCGGUCCAAACUCGUACGGGAGGCAGCGGUGAGGAAUACAGGGGAAUGGGCGUUAGCCUGAACCAGCCAAGUAGAGGGAAGGAUGCAGGCUUAUGAGUCGUAAACUUCUUUUAUAGAAGAAUAUGUAUUAUAAGAAUAAGGAUCGGCUAACUCCGUGCCAGCAGCCGCGGUAAUAC